UGGUGCAGAUGGUGUCCACGUAGGUUUCGU
This 30-nucleotide non-coding RNA is filed under the name Homo sapiens (human). Lineage: Eukaryota; Metazoa; Chordata; Mammalia; Primates; Hominidae. The record is from RNAcentral.